GACGUAGGGCGCAAGCGUUGUCCGGAUUUAUUGGGCGUAAAGAGCUCGUAGGCGGCUUGUUGCGUCGACCGUGAAAACCCGCGGCUCAACUGCGGGCUUGCGGUCGAUACGGGCGAGCUGGAGUUCGGUAGGGGAGACUGGAAUUCCUGGUGUAGCGGUGAAAUGCGCAGAUAUCAGGAGGAACACCGGUGGCGAAGGCGGAUCUCUGGGCCGAUACUGACGCUGAGGAGCGAAAGCGUGGGGAGCGAACAGG
This 253-nucleotide ribosomal RNA is filed under the name uncultured bacterium. Its description in RNAcentral is "partial 16S ribosomal RNA". It matches the Rfam family "Bacterial small subunit ribosomal RNA", at positions 524 to 776 of the family's 1533-position model. The record is from RNAcentral.